GACGAACGCUGGCGGCGUGCCUAAUACAUGCAAGUCGAGCGCAGGAAACUGACGGAACUCUUCGGAGGGAAGGCAGCGGAAUGAGCGGCGGACGGGUGAGUAACACGUAAGGAACCUGCCUCAAGGAUUGGGAUAACUCCGAGAAAUCGGAGCUAAUACCGGAUAGUUCAUCGGACCGCAUGGUCCGUUGAUGAAAGGCGCUCCGGCGUCACCUUGAGAUGGCCUUGCGGUGCAUUAGCUAGUUGGUGGGGUAACGGCCCACCAAGGCGACGUGACAUAGCCGACCUGAGAGGGUGAUCGGCCACACUGGGACUGAGACACGGCCCAGACUCCUACGGGAGGCAGCAGUAGGGAAUCUUCCACAAUGGACGAAAGUCUGAUGGAGCAACGCCGCGUGAGUGAUGAAGGUUUUCGGAUCGUAAAACUCUGUUGUAAGGGAAGAACACGUACGAGAGGAAAUGCUCGUACCUUGACGGUACCUUACGAGAAAGCCACGGCUAACUACGUGCCAGCAGCCGCAGUAA
RNAcentral lists this ribosomal RNA (524 nucleotides) under uncultured bacterium. Its description in RNAcentral is "partial 16S ribosomal RNA". It matches the Rfam family "Bacterial small subunit ribosomal RNA", at positions 28 to 523 of the family's 1533-position model. The record is from RNAcentral.